GCGCACAGUGGUUUAGUGGUUAGCACGUUCGUCUCACAACUCCAGGGUCCGGGGUUCGAUACCUGCCGGGCCGUGUGUGCG
This is a non-coding RNA of Ameiurus melas (black bullhead), 81 nucleotides long. The record is from the annotation of a GenBank genome assembly. Lineage: Eukaryota; Metazoa; Chordata; Actinopteri; Siluriformes; Ictaluridae.